Molecule: ribosomal RNA, 305 nt
Filed under: uncultured bacterium
Lineage: Bacteria
Description: bacterial SSU rRNA
Rfam family: Bacterial small subunit ribosomal RNA
Source: RNAcentral
AUGUGCCUACGGGGCGCAGCAGUAGGGAAUAUUGCUCAAUGGGGGAAACCCUGAAGCAGCAACGCCGCGUGGAGGAUGAAGGUUUUCGGAUUGUAAACUCCUUUUGUUAGAGAAGAUAAUGACGGUAUCUAACGAAUAAGCACCGGCUAACUCCGUGCCAGCAGCCGCGGUAAUACGGAGGGUGCAAGCGUUACUCGGAAUCACUGGGCGUAAAGAGCGCGUAGGCGGGAUAGCAAGUCAGAUGUGAACUCCUAUGGCUUAACCAUAGAACUGCAUUUGAAACUGUUAUUUUAGUGUAUGGGCAG